UCGAGAAUCUUCGGCAAUGGGCGCAAGCCUGACCGAGCGACGCCGCGUGCGGGAUGAAGGCCUUCGGGUUGUAAACCGCUGUCAGAGGGGAUGAAAUGCAGGUGGGUUCUCCCAUCUGUUUGACAUAGCCUCAGAGGAAGGACGGGCUAAGUUCGUGCCAGCAGCCGCGGUAAGACGAACCGUCCAAACGUUAUUCGGAAUCACUGGGCUUAAAGGGUGCGUAGGCGGCGCGGAAAGUUGGGUGUGAAAUCCCUCGGCUCAACCGAGGAAUUGCGCCCAAAACUUCCGUGCUCGAGGAAGAUAGAGGUGAGCGGAACUUAGGGUGGAGCGGUGAAAUGCGUUGAUAUCCUAAGGAACACCGGUGGCGAAAGCGGCUCACUGGAUCUUUUCUGACGCUGAGGCACGAAAGCUAGGGUAGCGAACG
Molecule: ribosomal RNA, 424 nt
Filed under: uncultured Planctomycetaceae bacterium
Lineage: Bacteria; Pseudomonadati; Planctomycetota; Planctomycetia; Planctomycetales; Planctomycetaceae
Description: partial 16S ribosomal RNA
Rfam family: Bacterial small subunit ribosomal RNA
Source: RNAcentral